This 253-nucleotide ribosomal RNA is filed under the name uncultured bacterium. RNAcentral's name for it is "partial 16S ribosomal RNA". It matches the Rfam family "Bacterial small subunit ribosomal RNA", at positions 524 to 776 of the family's 1533-position model. The record is from RNAcentral.
UACGGAGGGUGCAAGCGUUAUCCGGAAUCACUGGGUUUAAAGGGUGCGUAGGCUGCUUGAUAAGUCAGGGGUGAAAGCCUGCAGCUUAACUGCAGAAUUGCCUUUGAUACUGUCGAGCUUGAAAUAAGUUGAGGUCAGCGGAACGUGACAUGUAGCGGUGAAAUGCAUAGAUAUGUCACAGAACACCGAUUGCGAAGGCAGCUGGCUGGCCCAACUUUGACGCUGAGGCACGAAAGCGUGGGGAGCGAACAGG